UUGCCCAUCUAAGUCUUAUUAUGUCUUGGAUGACUAACACAGAAGGGUAGAGCAGUUUCUCACUAAAACACAAAGCAAAUGCAUUAUCAUUGCUUUGGAUCCUGUCGUGAGGAACAUAU
Leucoraja erinaceus (little skate) is the source of this 119-nucleotide small nucleolar RNA. RefSeq annotates it as small nucleolar RNA SNORA26. Lineage: Eukaryota; Metazoa; Chordata; Chondrichthyes; Rajiformes; Rajidae. The record is from RefSeq and is a predicted model, not a curated record. The transcript has a single exon.